RNAcentral lists this unclassified non-coding RNA (406 nucleotides) under soil metagenome. Its description in RNAcentral is "partial contains 5.8S ribosomal RNA, internal transcribed spacer 2, and large subunit ribosomal RNA". The stretch from base 1 to 121 matches the Rfam family "5.8S ribosomal RNA", at positions 35 to 154 of the family's 154-position model. The record is from RNAcentral.
GAUGAAGAACGCAGCGAAAUGCGAUAAGUAAUGUGAAUUGCAGAAUUCAGUGAAUCAUCGAAUCUUUGAACGCACCUUGCGCCCUUUGGCCAUUCCGAAGGGCAUGCCUGUUUGAGUAUCAUGAACACCUCAACUCUUCAUGGUUUUCCAUGAUGAGCUUGGACUUUGGGGGUCUUGCUGGCCUGUGGGUCGGCUCCUCUCAAAUGAAUCAGCUUGCCGGUUUUUGGUGGGCAUCACAGGUGUGAUAACUAUCUACGCUUGUGGUUUUCCACUAGGGUAACCUUCAGCAGUGGAGGUUCACUGGAGCUUACAAAUGUCUCUCCUCUGUGAGGACAGCCCUUUGAAUGUUUGAUCACAAAUCAGGUAGGACUACCCGCUGAACUUAAGCAUAUCAAUAAGCGGAGGA